Molecule: long non-coding RNA, 5351 nt
Filed under: Lathyrus oleraceus (garden pea)
Lineage: Eukaryota; Viridiplantae; Streptophyta; Magnoliopsida; Fabales; Fabaceae
Description: Pisum sativum (pea) long non-coding RNA (PSAT_LNC030788)
Source: RNAcentral
UAAUAAGGUAAAACAGAAAUUGGGCAAAGCUAAAACAAAGCAAUAACAUAAAACAGUAAUUGGGAAAAGCGUGUACCUUUGAUUGGUAGAAGGAGGAAACGCGCAUGUAGAUCUAACAGAGGUGGAAGGAAAACGCCUCAGAACCCUAACGUGAAAAAACGCUAAUAACAGAUAGUGAAAUAACAAAACGCGCAGUAUGUUAUAAUUUUAAUGUUUACUAAAGGGGACAUUAGAGGGCGCUUGUGGAAAAAAAGCGCCCUCUAAAGGGGGCCUAAGAGGGCGCUUAUGAAAGCGCUCUCUAAGGCUUUCCAGAAGCGCUUUAUAAGCUGGAAAUGCACGUGAACUUAUAACAGCGCUUUAUUAAAAGCGCCCUCUAAGGGUAACCUUAGAGGCGCUUUCUAUAAAGCGCCAUGUAUUGUUGUCCCUCUAUCUCCUCCUUAUUUUUUCGUUUCACCUUAAAGGGCGCUUGUGGAAACAAAGCACCCUCUAAAGGGGGCCUAAGAGGGCGCUUAUGAAAGCGCUCUCUAAGGCUUUCCAGAAGCGCUCUAUAAGCUGGAAAUGCACAUGGACUUAUAACAGCGCUUUAUUAAAAGCGCCCUCUAAGGGUAACCUUAGAGGGCGCUUCUAAAAAGCGCCAUGUAUUGUUGUCCCUCUAUCUCCUUCUUAUUUUUUUCGCUUCACCUUAGAGGGCGCUUNNNAUAUUUAAUUGGUAACCUGUUCGCAUGCUGCAAAAGUGUAAAAUUCAUAUUGAUUUCAUCCUUUAAUCCAAUGUUAUACACCAUUAAUCCAUUGAUAUAUACAACAUGAAUCCAUUUAUAUACAACAUUAAUCCUCCAUAUAUACAACAUUAAUAUAUGAUUCUUUGAUCAACAAUAUCAACAACAUAUUCUCAAAGUACUACAAUUAAGAGAUAAAAACAUAGCAACCAACACCCAGUGACCACUGUAUCCAAAAGCUGUCUAGUAGUUCUAACCAAUACUAAACAAAAACGCCCAUCCACCCAUGGUGGCAAACAUGUUCUGUUUAUCCAAAAGCUGUCUAGUAGUUCUAUCGCACAUCCAUACAAAAUAAGGCUCAACCAACACAACAGAUGGCAGCAUAAGUAGUCCCCUGCAAAAAGAACACGUCCAAAUGCAAAUAACACAAAACUGUCAAAAGGCGAUUGAGCAACAAAUAGUAAACAAUGGCAUAAAGUUAAAUGACAUAGCUAAUAUUACCUGAAUUCCUGCAUGGCUGUUAAGGUAAAAUCAAAUUCCCUAGGGUGACAAAUGUUGGUGUCUACCACGGUUCCUUUGACAAUUUAGAACAACAAAAUCAGCAAAAAGUGAUAAAUUCAAAUGAUAAUAUAUACCAGCUGCGUUGAGAAAUAUAUUGAAAAAACCUGGCAUAAUAUUUCCACUUCUAUCGGUCUCUUUGGGGUUGACAGGAAAGAGACGGGUGUGAUGUCUCUUUUGGACCACUACAAAAGUAACUUUAGGUAGAUACCCCAUUCUCUAUUGAGACAAAAGCCUGGUGAAAAAAAAUUAAAAAUUAAACGCAGAGAAUUUAGUGUGUAUUUUAUGAACGACAAAGUAACAAGAAAUCAACUUUGAGAAGUCCUAAAUUCUGCCUACAAUACAGUGCUGCAAAGUCAGAUGACAAAUGUAAAAACAAUUAAAAUCAUAAAAGUCAUUUUACCUGUAAUAAAGAAAACAAUUAAAAUCAUUUGACCUGUACCUUUUUCACUAAGUUCUCUUUCUUUUCUUGGUGAAUAUGUUCUACAUGUCUCUUAACAACACGGACGGUUGGAUUGAUCCAAAUACCCUCAUUAUGAUCAUUUCUAAUAUAUGAAUCAUUUGAUAUAAUAUUCUCAUCUUGAUCAUUUCUGGUAAACGAUUCAAUCUCAACAUCAAUAUCACCUUGAUCUCCAGUGUUUUCAUCAAUUACUUUGUUGGAAAAAAGAACUAUAGACCAUUUCGUACUUUUCGGAUCAUUGACAUAGAACACUUGUCUAGCUUGAGGCUAGAAUAAAAGACUCAUCUUUGUAUCCCACCCUAUUAAGAUCCACUUGCAAAAAUCCUGACUUAUCCAUUCGAAUGCCGUUAUUAUUUUCAACCCACUUGCAACCAAAUAUAGGAAUCUGAAACUUCUCAUAAUCAAACACCCAAAUGCGCUCGAUAACACCAAAAUACGACAGAUUUGCAAAUUUGGGGUUUAAGUCCUUCACACUUGAUAUGUGCAUUGCUUCAGCUACCACUGUGACACCACUAUUCUGCAUAGUACUUUUAUAUCUUGUUCUUUGGUAUAAAAUGUGUUCCAUUAAUCGCGUAUGCGCUAUAAGAAAAAACAUUGAAACUUGGACCAUAUGCUAAGCAUCUCAACCUUUCUGUUAUUGAAGCGAGAUCUGAAUAAUACUUUGAAUAAAUAUGAUCCUUAAACCAAGGUAUAAAACAUCGAUUGUGCUCUCGUACUAUCCAUUUUCAUUUCUAUUGGGAUUUAAACCUCGGAGAACAUCCUUGUGAAUUUCAACAUACGGCUCAACCUCAUUCUCAUUGUGCAGAACAUACAAAUGCACUUGAUCCCGUUCGACCCUUGAUAUGCCACGAUUUAUUUUCCAAUUAGAUUUUUUCCUUCUUUCUUUUCGACAAGCUGAGACUUGGGAGUCCGAUUGACUGAACAUUAGACAAAUAUUCAGUACAAAACUCAAUCGCUUCUUCAACAAUGUAUCUUUCAACCAUACAACCUUCUGGUCGACUUCGUUCUUCACGUACCCUUUUAAUAUUUUCAUAUAACGUUCAAUAGGUACAUCCAUCUCAUAUAAGCUGGUCCACACAAUUGUGUCUCUUUAACAAGAUGAACAACUAGAUGUACCAUUAUGUCAAAAAAUGAUGGAGGAAAAAACAUUUCAAGCUCACACAAAGUAAUAACGAUUUCUUUUUGCAACAUUGGUAAGAUCGCAGGAUUGAUCACCUUACUGCAAAUUGACUUGAAGAAGAACACAACUUAGUUAUAGAGCUUCUUACUUUUUCUGGAAGAAUAGAACGUAUACCUAUUGGGAGAAAAUGUUCCAUUAUAACAUGGCAAUCAUGGGUCUUUAAACUCUUUAACUUGAGGUCUUUCAUAGACACAAGUCUUCUAAUAUCUGAAGAGUACCCUUCUGGAACUUUAACUUCACUUAGAAACUUACACAAUGUUUUUUUUCUCCUUUCUAAAUAGAGUAUAAGCAGCAGGCGGUAGAUAUGUUCGUUUUCCUUUCUUCAAGGGUCCUAAUUCAGUUCUUAUUCCCAUCGCUAUCAAGUCCUUUCUUGCCUUAAGGCCAUCCUUAGACUUUCCUUGUAUAUUGAGUAACGUGCCAAUAACACUUUCAAAUACAUUUUUUCAAUAUGCAUAACAUCAAGAAAAUGUCUCACAUACAAGGACUUCCAAUACGGCAAUUCAAAAAAAACUGACCUCUUCUUCCACCCACUUUUGACAAGUGUGUGGGCAAAAGGCUUGCCAAACUGAGUAUCCAAAUCUUUCACCUUUUCAAAAAUUGAUCACCCGUCAAUAUAGGUGGAGCUCUGCCUUGUUCUGUCUCUCCAUUGAACGCCUUUCUCCAUCCACGGUAGUGAUGAUUUGAAUUUAAGAAUCUCCGAUGACCGAGAAAGACAUUCUUCUGACCAAACUCCAAGCGCUUCCAAUCUGUUUUAUCUUCACAAACAGGACACGCACAUUGACCUUUUAUGCUAUACCCUGAUAGAUUUCCGUAUGCUGGAAAUCAUUAUUGAUUUGCCAAACAACAUCGCCUCAAGUUGAAACUUUCUUUCCUAUAUCCAUCAUAAACCUCCACACCGGUCUCCCACAAAUCUUAAAUCUUCGAUUAAGGGCUUCAAGUACGUCUAUGUCAUUCCCUGGUUGUUUAGGUCCAGAAAUCAACAUAGACAACAUCAUGUACUUACGCUUCAUACAUAGCCAUGGAGGUAGGUUAUAAAUCAUAAUAAUCACAGGCCAUGUACUGUGUGAGAUACUCUGGAUACCGUGUGGGUUCAUUCCAUCAGUAGAUAAUGCCAAGCGAAGGUUUCUUGAUUCUUCUCCAAAUUCAGGAUAAUCAUUAUCAAUUUUCAACCACUGUGGUGAAUCUGCGGAUGUCGAUACUUUCCAUCUAUAAUUCUUUCAUCUGCAUGCCAGGUCAAGUGUCUUGAAUCGGUUUCACUACGAAACAUGCGUCUAAAUCUCGGAAUAACAGGAAAAUACCACAAGACCUUUGCUGGAGACAACUUGUUCUUAUAUCGCGAGACACCGCAUUUAUGACACUCAUUUAACGAUGCAUACUCAUUUCGAAACAAAACGCAAUCGUUUGGACAUGCAGUAUCUUAUCAUAGCUCAUGCCAAUAGAGCACAACAUCUUUUUGGUCUCAUAUGUUCGAUUGGAAGAACAUUAUCCUCAGGAAGCAUAUCUUUCAAAAGGGCUAAUAACUCUGUGAAACUUUUAUCCGACACCCAUUGCCCGCCUUUAAGUUGUACAACUUUAAUACCGUAGACAAUCUUGUGAAUUUAGUGCAACCAUCAUACAAAGGUUUCUCUGCAUCACUUACCAACCUCUCAAACAUUUCGGGACAAUCCUUAAGAUCUCCUUCAAGUGCUUCUGCAAUCUCUUCAACUCGAUCACAAUCGUAUGUAUCUGCGCCACUAUAGUUUGAGGCAUAGGUCGUACUAUCCCCCGUUCAACAUUCUCGUUACUUUUCUCACCAUGCAAAUUCCAACAUGUAUAACUUCGAUCAAUUCCAUGCCUCAUUAGAUGCGAUGUCAACUGAACUGCGUCAACCUGUUUCCCAUAACAACAACCCAAGCAAGGACAUAUCAUUCUACUGGGGUCUUCGGCGUACGCAACGGCAAACUUAACGAAUUCUGAUACCCCAUUCUCGUACUCUCUCGACAAUCGAUUGGAAGACAUCCAUGUAUUAUCCAUUACUAAUUAGAAUAAAUAAAAAAACAAUUUCAGAAGAGUUCAAACACAUUCGGACCUAGGUUUCUAAUAUACUGGUGUUGACACAAAAUCAGAUGUUUCAUAGGUCGUAUAACCCAUUGCAUCCGCAAUCAUGGUCACUAAAACCAACCCUCAAUUUCCUAGUGCAUCCGCUAUCAUGGUCGAAACAAACGUAGAAGAGGAAACGCGCAGUAAUAAGGUAAACAGAAAUUGGGCAAAGCUAAAACAAAGCAUAACAUAAAACAGUAAUUGGGAAAAGCGUUGUACCUUUGAUUGGUAGAAGGAGGAAACGCGCAUGUAGAUCUAACAGAGGUGGAAGGAAAACGCCUCAGAACCUAACGUGAAAAAGAACGCUAAUAACAGAUAGUGAAAUAACAAAACGCGCAGUAUGUUAUAAUUUUAAUGU